GUGUGUGCGCGUGCAGGAGGCUGUGAGGCGCCACAGCGCCAUUUUCUGUCUUUAAACGCUUUAAAAAUGGAGAUUUUUUGGUGAUUUUGUGUAAAUUUUGGCAGCUUUUAGUGAGUCUGUGCUGUUAAAAUCACUGAAGCAUCGAGUGUUUGUGUGUAUUCGGUACAUUAGUGAUGUUUAAAGCUUGUUGGUGCCUAAUGCUAACCGGUUAGCCUGUGUGAGUAGAAUGGUGAUGUCUGAUGGAGUGCAGUAGCUUUACAUGAUGGACAUUUCAGAAAAUCUUCUCUGCUUUCUGGUUGUGGUGGUGAAAUCAUCUGCUGAACUGCUGCUGCCGUGGAGAGAAACAGAAAUAAAGACAAAAGCAUCAUAAGGUUGUCUCAAAGUUGGAAAAAGGUAAAGGUGAUCGUUCGUUAAUACAUUUUCAAGGAGUAUUUUAGUGAAAGUAUUUUGGUCAGGGGAGCAAACUGACUACAAAAAUGAAUCAGGAAUAAAUAAACCUCUGAGCUAGUCCUCAUGCUAAUGUAAUGCAGAUCAAGUAAUCAAGUUUAUUUAUUGAUGGGGCAUAAAGGCAUAUGGCUGUUGCUGAGCAAGUAAAGUAAAAACAAAAUACUGUGUUUCUCCAGCAGGAACAGCUCCACGUACCAUGUGGACGGAUUUGGUUGAAUUCCUCCUUACAGAAUUAACCUUGUUGGAUUUUGUUCAAUUUCUUUUAAAUGAAGUCCUAAGGAAAGGUACAAAUAUUAGCCCCACCCUUACAUCACCAUCAGUCCACCCCUACACCUGAACAUCUUUAAAUUUUCAUACAAAUUGAAUUGUGUGAAAUGUUAGAAAUGUGCAAAUCUGAGACCGUAUCAGUUACAAUGUCUGGGUUUCUAAUUCCAUUAGAGAUAAUCAUUCAUUUUUACUGCAAAUGAAUAACUUUAAAUAAUGAUGGCAGAUGAAGCUUCAUGAAACACUGAAGCUAUCCAGCUAAUUGCGUUGAAAUGGUUCAUUUCUUGAGGCUUCACUUGUUCACGAGAGAAACCUGCUGGUCAAACUAUUAAUCAUAUAAUCAUCCAGACAAUACACAGGCUGGUGCACAGCAGUUCAUCAAACCAGGCUGAUAUAAAGAUACAUUUGUAAGUAUAUUCUAAAUAUCGAUAUUUUGAAGAAUGUUGAUUUUCUGGAAUUUCUUUUCCUCAUUAUACACAUCCAUUUGUCCCCAUUGUGUUUGUAUGUAUGUUUUAAAAGUAUAAGUCGUUUUGCUGAUGUUUCCCAGAACUAAUUGGCGUGACUGUUGUAAUGUGUGUGUAAGGUAAAGCCUAUUUUGAGUGCUUCUCAUUGCAAGAGGUUCACGAGUCUGACUCAAGGCGCAUAAAACUGGAUGCUAUAAAUCUUACAAUAUCACAGGAUCAGUUAAUUUUUCAGUACUCCACUCAGUUAUUGAUCCUCUGUUUGUGUAAUUUUGUGUAAAUGUGUGUGUUCCAUGGGUGGAAGUGGUCUGUCCCAGAAUAAAACUCCUCACGAAUGCA
Molecule: long non-coding RNA, 1511 nt
Organism: Neoarius graeffei (lesser salmon catfish)
Lineage: Eukaryota; Metazoa; Chordata; Actinopteri; Siluriformes; Ariidae
Exons: 2
Source: RefSeq, a predicted model, not a curated record